Molecule: non-coding RNA, 167 nt
Organism: Pelobates cultripes (western spadefoot toad)
Lineage: Eukaryota; Metazoa; Chordata; Amphibia; Anura; Pelobatidae
Source: the annotation of a GenBank genome assembly
GCAGACACAUUCCAGCCAAUCAGCAGCAGACCCUCCCUCCCAGACCCUCCCACCUCCUGGACAGCAUCCAUUUUACAUUCAUUGUGAAGCUGCAUUCUUAGUGAGCUGUCCAGGAGGUGGGAGGGUCUGGGAGGGAGGGUCUGCUGCUGAUUGGCUAGAAUGUGUCU